This 5201-nucleotide long non-coding RNA is filed under the name Gallus gallus (chicken). Lineage: Eukaryota; Metazoa; Chordata; Aves; Galliformes; Phasianidae. The record is from RNAcentral.
CCGCUUAACUCCCUGUUGACCGGAGCGCUCGGUGCGGUGUUCGGCCCCGCCGUGGGAGGCGGAUUGUGUGCUGCCUGCCGUCCUUUAUAAAGGACGGGCCCCGCUACAGGGGGUGGGCUCACGCUGCCUGCAGUUUCUGCUGGGGGACAGGCCCAGUUGCAGGGGACAGGCCUUGCUAUAGGGUAAGAGCUGUGCUGUAGGGGACAGGCCCUACUCUAGGGCAAGAGCCGUGCUAUAGGGGUCAGGCCCUGCUAUAGGGGACAGGCCCCAUGCUGCCUGCAGCUCCCUAUAAGGAACAGGUGCCACGAUAGGGGACAGGCCCCAUUAGAGGGUUCAUUCAGUAUGGGCCCUGCAGUGACUCAGCUGCAGGCUGGCUGGUUUUAUUGCUGCACCCCUCUGCACUGGGAAAAAAAGGGGGCGAUUAUAUUCUUGCGUUGAGACUUGAGACUCCUGUGUGUUGUUCAGACCUUUUGCUUGAGAACUUAGCCAUCUUGUGGAGCAACAGGCGAGAAAGUGAAUAGUUCUGACGUUGUUUAAAUGUGAUCUCCAGUGCCAUAUCCUGGUGAACGCUGGCUGUGCGGUCUGCAGAGCUUGCAGGUCCUGUGAUGGAAGCAGCACAGCUGGGGAAUUUCUGUUGGGACAGCAUCCAUCUUUGAGCCCUGCCCUCCUCCCAGGCCUGAGGUAAUUAGAGUCCCAACCAGACUACACAAAUGCACUGCUGCAACACACACACAGCUGCUCAGGGGCAGGCGAUGCACUCUGUACACUUCUAUAGUGCAGGAGUGGAGAAACUUGCAGGGUGUGGAUAACCAGCAGCUCCCUGUGUGCUGUUUAAUACCUACACCCAUCCCUGGGCCUUUCUGUCCAGUGCCACUGUCUGGCUGAAUUGCACUGGGACCAAAACAUUGCGUUCCCGUUGACCUGAGGGAGAAAGGGGACAGUGCUUGGAGUCAGUCCAUCUGCUUGCUUGACCCACUCUGGGAGAAGCUGCUGCUGCUGCCGUGAGAUUUUUGCGGAUUUGAGGACGAUGCAACAUCCUGCCCAGAGAGAUGAGAUGCUGACGGCUGCAGGGGGGGGUAAAGGGCUUUGAGAGGAGGAAGGGAUUGAGAUCAGCAGAUGUUGGAUUGAGCGGCUGCAAUGAAAACAGCUCUUUCAGCUCCUUUGAGCGGAGCUGGAGCAAAAAGCAAUUUGGGGCAAUAGAUCUAGCUGCAUGCUUAAGGAAAGGGAUGCAACUCACCUUCAUGUCAGUUUGCCCCAGAGAUGGCGAUACCCUUCCAGGCAGCAAAGCAGAUGAGGCAGGGGCCCCACUACGGGCUGUGCUGCUCAGGAGGGGACAGGAAGGAGGGCUUGAUCCCAUUUAUCACCUGCACCUCUCCUAAGCUGGAAAAUGAGGACAGUGGUAACAUUAUUAUAAAACACCUGCCAGCCAACUGUCCCACUGGUCCCCAGCAAGGGGAUGAGCUUCCAUAAACGUUUGGUUCUUUGAAGGGGGAAAAAAAAAAUGGUGGGAGACUUUGGAAAGAAAAUCUCGAUUUUGCCAUUUCCCUUUGCCAGGCAGCUCGGGUUCCCUGGGAACACACACAGCUCUGACACAGCCAGUUCUUCUCAUCGAGCACAGGAUGAGCGUUUAUUGUCUUGUGAUCAAAACACAAACAGAAGGCAGAGCCCCGCGAGUGACACAAAGCAAACACGCGGACACGAGCAAAACCAGGAGCCGGGUCCGGGUUAAUGGUGUGAAGAGACUGAAUGUAAACAUUAAAAACCAUAGAGGAGCCCGAAGAAUUUAAGCCAUGGCAGUUCAGGCAGCACUGAGUCGACUUGCUGGAAUUUGGGUUUCUGGCAUUGAAAAGGAUGGAAGGGGGGAAAUGCGUUUCGAGAUGGCAGCUCCCAUCCACGGAGCUCCACUUAAGCUCUUUAGAAAUCUCAGGCAGUGUUUGCUCAUGAUUUAGCAAUCCUUUUGCUAACGAUGGUCGUGAUUUUGGUGUCUGCCUCCAACCAGUAUUGGUUUGAAGCUCUGAAGUAUCCCCUUCUCUGCACUGAGCAGGUUGGAAAUGCAAGAUGGGCUCUUUGAAAGACCCCCAGAUUCCCCAAAGGGAAGAAGAGAAGAAGUACAGAGUCUCUUGGCAAUGUUUCUCCUCACGGUUCUUUUAUCACUCUCUGAUGGCAAGCGACACAGAACGCUUAAAAUCACACUUGACACAUGACAAAGGCACCUAAAAGCUUGGCAACGCAACCAGGUCGUAUUCUAUGAUGAAGGCUUCAAGCAUUUGUAAUUACAAACACAGUGCACACUUGCAAGAAGAAAACACCCUUGUGUUCAGCACAUGAAAUAUCCCCAAGGCAGCGAAGGGCUGGUGCUGCAGCAGGGGUCAGUGCUGCUCGUAAACCAAGGUCAGAGGAGGCUCUGCCCUCCCACUGAUGUUUGCUGUUGCUUUGGCCCUAACAACAAAGGUGUUGUGCAGACUCCAAGCUGUACUUUGCUGAGUGUUUACGGAAUGACAUGGGAAAAGUUAAUGGAGCGAAGGGGAAGCUUUGCAGAGGGGAACGGGGAACAAAGAUUUCUCCUUCGUGAACUAACAUCAUUAGUUAAGGCACAUGUAGAAAUGGUUUUCAAAAGAUCACUUGCAAAUCAGUUCCUCCUAGCUGGGGCAGCCUCCCUGUCCCUGUCCGGGAGCCAGGUUUGCUUUCCAGUUACUUAGUGUGAACACGGAGUGACUCGGGCUCCAGCACCUCUGGCAUCCCCCAGAGCUGGCAGGCCGUGGGGCCAACCCAAACCUCCAGACCUGGCUCUGCACAGGACCAGCUGUCAGAGCUGAAGAUGCUUAACGCUCACUCCCUUCAGAAAUAUUGGGAACUGACCUCCCAGGCAGACAGAGUUCCCAGCAGGGUGCUGGGGGAAAGGGGAAAGCACAGCCUUUGUGCUCGGGUCGCUGCAGGACACAGGGAAUGGGAUGGCUCAGGCUCUGGCUGUCCUGCUGGACAUGCAUGAGAUGAAGGUGGGUGAUGAGAUCAGUGCUAGCUCUCAGGCAUACAAUCCCUCCCAACAGCUUUAUCCUCUUUUGCUGAUUCCUGGGGAAAGGCAAGAAGUUCUGCUUGUACCUGGAAGGAAGUGCUGCUGGAUGCACCGGCGCCAGCUCUGCACUGCCGACAAUAGUUAUGAGGACUACUGAGCUUCCCUUGGUCUAUCAGACAGCUCACUGCACGAUGGUGUACGUAUCUAUCCAUUGCAGUGGAAUUGCUCCCAAACUGCCCUGGGGCCCAGCGCUGAGAUAAGGGCCCCAGCAGCUGGAGGCCAGAACACAGGACAAGGCAUGUCAGUUCAGCACAUGUGGGGUCAGCAUGGAAACCCUGGGAUGGCACAGAUAUCUCACACUGCCUGCCUGUAAGAGGGCGAGCAUCCGCAGGCUCAGAGCCCAACGCCAGUUGGCUUUACCAUAACUUCCAGUGGGCUUUCGGCGAGCACUCAUUAACAAAAUGAGAUGAAUCUGCACCUCUGCAGCAUACAGAUCCAGCUAAAGCUUUUGGGAGCGUGGAAAGCAGGACUUAUAUCCUAAGAGCAGUUCUAGCCACAGAAAUGGGGACUCCACUUCUGAGCAACACUCACCCACAGUGAGCACUGCCUUACGAAGGAAUCUUCACCAGAGAGCACAGGCAGAUGAGGCUGCAGAUUGCACAGCCACCUUCAGAUCAGCAGUACCAAAGAAAUCAGGUGUUGCAUUUCCCAGUGUGGAGUGAAAGAUUCCAGAUUACUCAUCUGGGAGAGCCAACGCCGGCUGGUAAUCAUGCUCAGACUGUGGUUGUUCCAAGGACAGACAGCUUGGUGGUGCGUGGGGAGAGCAACGCUGGCAGUGCUCACAUUGCAGGGAGCUCAGCCACAAUCACAAGGAGCCCUCGAGCAAAGGGCAGCGAGCAGUGGGUUCCUCGGCCUGCAACGAGGCAAAGGCUGGAGCAGCACAAGGGAAAAACCUUCAGAUGUUCCGAUCCGGCCGUGCGGAGCUCUUGGCGUGCCAUAGCAGGCAGCACACAUCUUCUGCAGCCACGAGGGGACAAAAAAAAAACCAACCAGAAAACCCCACGAAGAGCGGAGCGUACGGAGGGGAAUGCAAAUGACCUUUUCAGAUAAUGAUAAAAGGAGCAAAAAAAGGAGAGAAUCCAGGCAGCGUGCAGCCCGGGGCUGCCUAAGGCCAUUGGUUUCCCGAGGGGUAGUUGGGCACCGUGGGGUAUUCGGGCAGGCUGUUCCCUGCAAAGUUGUUGUAUUGGGCCUCUCUGCUGGGGGGGUUCCUCCAUGCACCGCUGUGCCAUUCAUCCUGAGCCUUCUGGAAGCUCCCGCCGGCCCCUCGGUAGAUUUUGUGCACCCUCAAAAUGCAGACAAGCAUCGCCAGCGCUGCCAUCGUGAACAUAAUGGCAGGGAACAGCAUGAACACAGCAGCUGCCACGUUGGUGCUGAAGAACGUGAUGGCCGCCAACCACCCACUGCAAGGGAGGGAAAGGGGAACACAGCGUUAGAGCAGCUUCACAGCUCCUGGAAACCGAGAGAGCACAGAGGACAGUGCAGAGCUCAGCGCUGCUUGGAUGGUAUCUCCCCAAGAGCCCAGAGCCGGCUUGCCAGCACUUCCACUGCCCCCCUGCAGGUUGUGGAGUGGCCCCUGGGAGGAGGCUGUCCUUACCACGCUCCCCAUCCGGAGAAACCCACUGCCUGCAGGAAGGUGAGGACGAACUGCAUGCCGAAGACGAAGAAGAAGGUCAUGAAAUUAAAGGAGCUGUCCGACCGAAAGGCUUUGUACACCGGUCGGAACCAGCAGACGUAGCUGCAGGGGCUGAAGAGGAUCAGCCAGAGGAUGGCCAAGCCAAAGUUGACACCAUAGCCACCUCCAAUCCACCACGCCAGGCAGGCAAUGAUGUUCACGACCAGCGUGAUGCAGUAAAAGAUCCAGACGUGGUAGAUCCUCUUCACCAGGGACUGAUAAUCGAUGGGUAUCUCAUCCGAAAAGUUCUGGUAGAAGCAGGGCUUCAGGGGGAUGAAUUUGGGGAGCGGUGGGAAGUUAUUCACCUUCUCUGCCAUGGUGGUUCAGGGCGUCGCUGGGCCACGACAGCCGGACGGCAGCAGAGCGUCUCAGUGCUGCAUGGGGCUGGGAUGGUGCCUGGCUCCCUGCAAGGACGCCCAGCGCCGCCCGCCCCGCUCCGCUCAGCGCCGCUCCCCG